GACAUAGGUGGCGAACGUUAUCCGGAAUUAUUGGGCGUAAAGGAUGCGUAGAUGGUAGAAUAAGUUAUUGGUCGAUGCCAAACUCAAUUUGGCGGAAGCUGGUAAUACUGUUCAGCUAGAGGGCAGGAGAGGUUGAUGGAAUUCUGUGUGGAGCGGUGAAAUGCGUUGAUCUGCAGAGGAACACCAAAAAAGGCGAAGGCAGUCAACUAUUCUGUUCCUGACAUUGAGG
RNAcentral lists this ribosomal RNA (229 nucleotides) under uncultured bacterium. Its description in RNAcentral is "partial 16S ribosomal RNA". It matches the Rfam family "Bacterial small subunit ribosomal RNA", at positions 524 to 751 of the family's 1533-position model. The record is from RNAcentral.